UACGAAGGGGGCUAGCGUUGCUCGGAAUUACUGGGCGUACAGGGAGCGUAGGCGGUUGGAUAAGCCCUCCGUGAAAUCUCCAGGCUUAACCUGGAAAGUGCAGAGGGGACUGUUCAGCUAGAGGAUGGGAGAGGAGCGCGGAAUUCCCGGUGUAGCGGUGAAAUGCGUAGAGAUCGGGAGGAAGGCCGGUGGCGAAGGCGGCGCUCUGGAACAUUUCUGACGCUGAGGCUCGAAAGCGUGGGGAGCAAACAGG
This 253-nucleotide ribosomal RNA is filed under the name uncultured bacterium. RNAcentral describes it as "partial 16S ribosomal RNA". It matches the Rfam family "Bacterial small subunit ribosomal RNA", at positions 524 to 776 of the family's 1533-position model. The record is from RNAcentral.